This 402-nucleotide ribosomal RNA is filed under the name uncultured bacterium. RNAcentral describes it as "bacterial SSU rRNA". It matches the Rfam family "Bacterial small subunit ribosomal RNA", at positions 355 to 775 of the family's 1533-position model. The record is from RNAcentral.
UGGGGAAUAUUGGACAAUGGGGGCAACCCUGAUCCAGCCAUGCCGCGUGAGUGAUGAAGGCCCUAGGGUUGUAAAGCUCUUUCACCGGGGAAGAUAAUGACGGUACCCGGAGAAGAAGCCCCGGCUAACUUCGUGCCAGCAGCCGCGGUAAUACGAAGGGGGCUAGCGUUGUUCGGAAUUACUGGGCGUAAAGCGCACGUAGGCGGAUUGUUAAGUGAGGGGUGAAAUCCCAGGGCUCAACCCUGGAACUGCCUUUCAUACUGGCGAUCUCGAGUUUGGGAGAGGUGAGUGGAAUUCCGAGUGUAGAGGUGAAAUUCGUAGAUAUUCGGAGGAACACCAGUGGCGAAGGCGGCUCACUGGCCCAAACUGACGCUGAGGUGCGAAAGCGUGGGGAGCAAACAG